GAUCCCGCCCACCGUCGGGUAAUCGUCGGUUCGUCUGAACCGAACUGCAGUGCAGAGCCGGAAUGGGGGGCUUGGCCCCGGUCCAGCACGGUCAAAAUUAGCUCUCUGUUGAAUUACAUGCAGUCAGCCAGUGGAAGCGGCUGGGAUCCCGACGCCCCAGUCCCGCAGCCUUGUACGGGGUGCCCAAACCCCGCAAGGCUGCUGCUCGGGUCCGCCGUCGUCCGAGAACGCCUUUCCCCACAGCAACUUUAACAGCAAAGGACAAGAACAAAGACUUUAUCUGUUGUUUCUUCAACAUGACACCAACAGGAGCAAUGGGGGAUCCCAUUAGCGCCGACGGCUGUGUUCCUGAACCCGGCGGCGCGGAGAGGAACGACCACGAAAGAUCGACAUUCCACCCGUCCGACGCGGGAUAGAGAACGGCCCUCUGGGGAAAUUGUAUCCUCAUGUAUAUUCUUUUUUUAUUUCCUAAAUCAUGUAUAUCCUUAUUUUUUAUGGUUAUGGCGUGCGGUACAGAUGAAUUAUGACGCUGGGGCUAUUUCCCCAUCUAUGUGAUUAAUAACAUUUUAGAAAAACCUGGGACUCUAAGCCUUGAUGAUAUGCUCUUCGGAGGGGGCGGCAGUAAAGACACACAGCACCUCAAGACAGACCUGACAGACUGGAGCUUCACUAAAGACCCACAUGUCUGUGUUUGCAAACUCCACAGGGGCCCUCGGGGGCCCGGCGGCGGCGGCGGCGGCAGCAGCAGCACGUCUUCCACUUGUCCACUUCUACUUUAUACGGCUGGACUCUUUCAUACCUCUGUGAAUUCCUGUGAACAAACCCAUCGAGAAAUGUUCAGUGUUCUGUAUCCGCACGCAAUGUGACAAACGCUAGAGAUCGAUGUGUGUUUUUAAGGGACAUCAACUUCGGGGGUUUCCGCGCGGACGAACAGAACUGGUGUCGAAACAAGCGAAAAAUUGGUGAAGGAACCGCACACAAAUUGAGGACAUUUCCAACACGCACGCAAACAGAUCGUUUAGUGUAGAGAUGAUUUUCGAUCAGUGAAAAACAAUUAAAUGUAGACGACGGAUUUCACGUAGAAAUUACACUAAAUAAUUCCCGCUCGGAAAUUAAAACAGAGUUCUCCCAUUUAAGCCAAUUUCACCACAAAUAAAGUACAUCGCAAGAAAAUAGCGAUUUUCUAGGCAAGUAACGCAUUGCAUUUAUUGUCUUGUUUGUUUUUUUUUUAAGUUGAAAGACAGAAAACGUAUAUUCUUGCCAAACACACCCGCAAAACCUUUUAUUCGGAACUUUGAUUAUUUAGUGUACAGAAUCGUACAAAAGACACGGAAAGUGAAUCCGAUUUCUGUUUUCGGGUUACGCACCGCUCUUAACUAUCGAAUCGUCCGGAAAUUGUUCCGUAAGGUCUUUUUUUUUUUUUUUUUUUUUUUUUCAAUUGCACUGAAGCGAUGCAACGCACUUGUGACACACAAUUGCCAAACGUAAACUUUAAGGGUUUUUUUUUUUUUGCAACUUUUACCUACUUAAAAGUAUUCGCAAUCAGAACUAGCGACGUCCGCUAGCCCGUGGCCAUUUUGAGUAUCGCCAAAUUGAUCAAGUCUAGCGCCACCAUUCACGGAAGCACUUUGACGUCCCUCUCGGAUGCAUCCAUACGUCUCCGUCGCUAAACCACGUCAACGUCAGUCAGUACUCACACCUUACAGUAUUUACUAAGGCUAAGAGUCCCCACUUCUUCUCAUGCAGUUACUAAAAAAAGCUACAGAGCUCAUCUUCUUUGUUAAAUUUAAAUUUUUUGCUUGUUAAGUUUUGCUUUUGAACUUUUUGUUUUGGUUUUAGUUGCUUUGCCAGUAUAUUAAAGUGUAAUCAUGUACGUUGUGAUAUAGAAAUAGCUGUAGAGACGCAUUGUUUCCUUGUGGUAAGUGACUGAGAUGCUGCCACGGAUUUGAGACACUGAUGAAUGGUGCUAUUUUGGACUUUAAUCUGCUCCUUGGUAAGGAAGCUCAGAUGGGUUUAUUUUAUAUUUUCAUGUUCGGAAGAGGUGUUGGUACUUUGUUGUCUGGUUGUCGUAACUCGGAUCGGAUCGACUUUACUCCCCCUUGUUGUUUCUGUGUGGCUUUCUCAUUGGACGGAAAAACAGAUUUGCCGAAGAGUUGGCGUUUUGGUUUUUUUUUUUUUUUGGUUUUUACUCGAAGGUGAUUAUUUGGGAAAUUCCGAAACUCUCUUAGACGGUCGGAGCAAUCACAAAACUGCAAUUCGUAACACUAUCUACCCUUUAACGUAAAGGACUAAUUCGAGGAGUAGUUACGGUUCCUGGCACUAUAGUCACUUCAGGCAAUAGCGAACUCUCAUACUCACGGGACGGGUUUCAUGUUUUCGUUUUAGCGACCAACUUCUAAUACAUCGAGGACACGUUCAAAUAGACAUCGUGAAGGACGCGGUCGCUGUUGUAGUUCGCCGUGCACGGUCCCAGGCCGACGGAGUCUAUAUAGUGUACAUAUACAGGUCAGAUUUAUCAUCCCGCACCAGUCUAACGAGGACAGGAACGCUCAUCCGAGUCCUUCGAUGUAUUUUCAAAGGCAAAACAUGUAGCAGCAAAACCAACGUGGUCUCGUGGACGCGUCUAGCGGCUGGUUUUGUACUCUACUUUUCUGCGUCUUAGGAUGAGAACCAAAAAGCUUUAUAUUUAUUCGUUUAAGUAGCACGGUAUCGUCAACUCGGUAUUUGCAGUUUUGUCUUUGCUUCCAGUUCACAUACUUUUACGAAUCCUAACUCAGAGUCCGACUGGAAAGCCCACGUUAGUUUCUUAGUCUUCCAUUUAUUUUGUCCACUACCCAGUGGGGACCUUCCCGGCUUGCUCUAGUCUUUCCUUAGUGCUUAUCGAUCGCAUGCUCUCCGCUCUUCCUUUUUUGUUUGGUUUCUGAUCUGAAUGACUCUCCUUCGCGGUUUCUUCUCAUAGAUUAGGUAGAUGCCAAACGUGUUGUAAAUAGCCAGUGAGUAGCUUGUAGUAUCUUGUAUUAUUCUGUAAUAACUGUGUAUGAUUGGUGUACAAAACAUGGAGUGUAGCCUUGUCAUCUUUGUAAGGAUGCACAGGGGUUUCAUGUUAUUUUGCAACUUAAGCUGUAGUUGAAUAAAUAUGCAAGCUCUCGCUA
Puntigrus tetrazona (Sumatra barb) is the source of this 3152-nucleotide long non-coding RNA. RefSeq lists it as uncharacterized. Lineage: Eukaryota; Metazoa; Chordata; Actinopteri; Cypriniformes; Cyprinidae. The transcript has 3 exons. The record is from RefSeq and is a predicted model, not a curated record.